Molecule: long non-coding RNA, 2415 nt
Organism: Gopherus flavomarginatus (Mexican gopher tortoise)
Lineage: Eukaryota; Metazoa; Chordata; Testudines; Testudinidae
Exons: 4
Source: RefSeq, a predicted model, not a curated record
CAGGGUUGUGAGAGGGGAGGAUGUGAGUUUAAAAAAAAAAAAAGGAUGGCCAGAAUGCCGCCCCCUGGAAAUGUGCUGCCCCAAGCAUCUGCUUGUUUUGCUGGUGCCUAGAGCAGGCCCUGCCCACAGGGGAGGAGGGGAUUAGAGAGGGUCCCGGAGCUCAGGCUCCAGCCAAAGCCUGAAUGUCUACACCGUAAUUAAACAGCCCCUUAGCCUGAGCCCCAUGAGCCUGAGUCAGCUGGCAUGGGCCAACUGUGGGUGAGACAUAGGCACAGAGACUUAGGACCAGAGCUGAGUGAUUUUUUUUUUGACAAAUAGUUUAUUUGCAGCCCCGCCCCCUUACUAUGCGGCUCUGAGUGGGGAGGAUCUCAGGCCCCGCUGAAACCACGGUGCAGCUGUUCACAGACGGUCCUGGAUGGGCUGAAGUUCCAGGAUAUAUGCACACCCUGGCAAUGUAGGUGGAAUGGGAGUUGAUACAAUUUUUAUCAAAUCUGGAUUUUUCAAAUGGAAAAAUGUACUUUCUCCAGACAAAAGUUUAAUCAAAUAUGAAAACUGCUUCGUCUGCUUGAAUAAAAUAGCUGACUGGACUGCAGCAAAGAAAAGAGAUGCUACAGAUAAUUUCUGUGACAAUCAAGGUCCCGACACCCCAAUGGAAGAACAGGAGGUCUGAACUCCAAACAAUAUACAAUUUAAUCAAAUGGUUGUAUACCAUAUUAGUGUGUAUAACUAUAUGUCAAGGAAGAUCUCUUACGAAAACUUGUGAUGUUCUGAACCCAACGGUCGUUAUGAAAUAUGUAUACAAACAGUGCUUAUGUAUUUGUGUAUAUAAAACUGUGCUCGUAAUUUCUCUGAAGCAAUCGGGCAGGGAGGGCUCGCUUCCUCAAACAGACAGUGAGGCAAGCUCCAAGUACUUAGCAUUGUACAAGUCAGGAAAAAGACAGUGCUGGACCAUUAAAAUUAAUGGGAAAAUAUUGGAACUGCACUACGAACUUAUAUCAGUAUAAAUUCACCCUCCUGAAUGACAGUUACAUCAACCUAACCACCAGCGUAGACAGUGCUGUGUCAACAGCAGGACUUCUCCUGUCAACGUAGUUACCGACUCUUGGACAAGCUAUGAGCAGUGUCUUCACUAAGCGCUGCAGCAGUGCAGUAACUGUAGACAAGCUAUAGGAAAGAAGAAAAAUUUCCCCACCCUGAAUAACCAUGAGUCACCAUGCCAAGUGUAGGGGAUGUGGGAGAAAGAAGCAGGCGAGAGAGAGAAACUGAUUCUAUGAAAUAAUCCUCAAUAAUUUGGAGGAGAUUCACAGUAUUCUGUCAGCCUUUGUGAAUGGAUAUGGCGAUCUGUUCAUUGAAGACGAGGACUGUUGGAAGUUACAAAAUCAUCCAAAUUCUUGUUCUCAACAGAGGUUAUGAAAAUUUUGAAAGUUUUGCUCCUGUGAACAAUUACCUUCAAAAGGAACUAAUGCACCUUGCUAACUGAGUUGAAUUGAUUAUCGUUGCCUCUGAAGAACUUCAAUAAAAUAGACAUUCUAAGGUUUUUUCUCAGAGAUUUCAUCCAGCAAAAUGUUUUGAAAGAUACGUGUGAUGAAACAUCAAUAUUAAGUUGUGCCACUAAAAGACCCAAGCUAUUGCUCCCAGAAUUUCAAGAUUCCAUGGUCACUGAGCACUUACCUGGAUUUUGAAAUGUAAAUGAGCAUCAGUGGUUCCAGAUUUAUCCUGAACUGAUUGAUUAAACCAAUAGUGAAUUGCAAAUGAGAUUUUCUGAGAAGAACCUCCAAAUUAUACAAAAGCUUGUGAGCAAACUAUUUCACCAGUUCUCUGGAAUUUGAAAAAGUCCUAGGUUCUGCUAAGGAAUUAAACAGGGCUUUCCCGUAUAUUUUGAAAGGUUUAUAGGUUUCUUUGUUGUUUGGGGCAUCAGCUGCAGCUUGUGAGAAUUCCUUUUCUUGUUUGAAAAGCAUUUUAUCAGAGAGCAUGACUCAUGAAUAAAAGAGAAACUAAUUCUCUUACCGUAUGAAAAUGCUUUGAGUUCAAAAUGGACCCUGGAUGUCUUUGAGAAAGAAUUCAGAUGUCAUUAUCCAAGAAGAUUUCACCUUUAGUUUUCUGAAUAGUCUUUAUGUUACACAGCACUUUCAUGAUGCAGUUUGGAGAUUAUUUGAAAAUUCUACUUCAGAGACCAAUGUAGAGGAACCAUCCAGCCGCAGGAAGGAUUUCAGCUGAUACAAACGACAAUAUUAAUGAUGGAUGUAGGAGCACACAUUUUAGACUAGAGUUUAAUUAGAGGGAGAAACCUGAAGAGAAAAAGAGAGAGUGUGGCAGUAUUGCAGUCAGACAGACCUGGCCUUUUGUCGCUGCCUUAUCUUGAGAGAGUGAUAUGGGAUUAGGACUAGAGGCACUUGCUGAUGGAAUGAGAAUGCU